AUUUGUACCGAUUCAAUGAUAGCUUUAUAAACGAAACUACUUUGAGUCGGUACGAAUCA
This 59-nucleotide microRNA precursor is filed under the name Parasteatoda tepidariorum (common house spider). RNAcentral describes it as "microRNA pte-mir-3931 precursor". The record is from miRBase by way of RNAcentral. Lineage: Eukaryota; Metazoa; Arthropoda; Arachnida; Araneae; Theridiidae.